GAGGAUGCGAGCGUUAUCCGGAUUUAUUGGGUUUAAAGGGUGCGUAGGCGGACUGUCAAGUCAGCGGUAAAAUACGGGGGCUCAACCUCCGCCCGCCGUUGAAACUGACGGUCUUGAGUGGGCGAGAAGUAUGCGGAAUGCGUGGUGUAGCGGUGAAAUGCAUAGAUAUCACGCAGAACUCCGAUUGCGAAGGCAGCAUACCGGCGCCCAACUGACGCUGAAGCACGAAAGCGUGGGUAUCGAA
Molecule: ribosomal RNA, 244 nt
Filed under: uncultured bacterium
Lineage: Bacteria
Description: partial 16S ribosomal RNA
Rfam family: Bacterial small subunit ribosomal RNA
Source: RNAcentral